CCUGCACACAGUUGGAGCUUGGAGCUGAGGCCAGCUGCUGGCCGAGGAACUCUCAAGUGUAGGACGUGUGCUAUAGUAACCUGGCAGAGUGUUUUGUUGGCACCACGAGGGCCUUCUGGCCCAAGGAGUGGAGGUUCAUAAUCAUUCUUGCCACAGUU
This is a small nucleolar RNA of Pogoniulus pusillus (Red-fronted tinkerbird), 158 nucleotides long. NCBI's taxonomy places the organism in Eukaryota, Metazoa, Chordata, Aves, Piciformes, Lybiidae. The record is from RefSeq and is a predicted model, not a curated record.